RNAcentral lists this ribosomal RNA (444 nucleotides) under uncultured bacterium. RNAcentral's name for it is "partial 16S ribosomal RNA". It matches the Rfam family "Bacterial small subunit ribosomal RNA", at positions 338 to 795 of the family's 1533-position model. The record is from RNAcentral.
CCUACGGGUGGCAGCAGUGGGGAAUUUUGGACAAUGGGGGGAACCCUGAUCCAGCGACGCCGCGUGAGUGAAGAAGUAUUUCGGUAUGUAAAGCUCUAUCAGCAGGGAAGAAAGAAAUGACGGUACCUGACUAAGAAGCCCCGGCUAACUACGUGCCAGCAGCCGCGGGAAUACGUAGGGGGCAAGCGUUAUCCGGAUUUACCGGGGGGAAAGGGGGCGUAGACGGCGAUGGAAGUCUGCAGGGAAAGGGGGGGGGCCAACCCCCCGGACUGCUUUGGAAACUGUAUGGCUGGAGUGCAGGAGAGGUAAGUGGAAUUCCUAGUGUAGCGGUGAAAUGCGUAGAUAUUAGGAGGAACACCAGUGGCGAAGGCGGCUUACUGGACUGUAACUGACGUUGAGGCUCGAAAGCGUGGGGAGCAAACAGGAUUAGAUACCCGAGUAGUC